This 253-nucleotide ribosomal RNA is filed under the name uncultured bacterium. Its description in RNAcentral is "partial 16S ribosomal RNA". It matches the Rfam family "Bacterial small subunit ribosomal RNA", at positions 524 to 776 of the family's 1533-position model. The record is from RNAcentral.
UACGAAGGGUGCAAGCGUUACUCGGAAUUACUGGGCGUAAAGGGCGCGUAGGCGGAAUGGCAAGUCGGUCGUGAAAUCCUUCGGCUCAACCGAAGAACGUCGAUCGAAACUGCCGUUCUUGAGGAUUGCAGAGGAGACUGGAAUUCCCGGUGUAGCGGUGAAAUGUGUAGAGAUCGGGAGGAACACCGGUGGCGAAGGCGGGUCUCUGGGCAAUUCCUGACGCUGAGGCGCGAAAGCGUGGGGAGCAAACGGG